GGAGUGGGAGUAUAUAGCUCAGUGGUAGAGUAUAUGCUUAGCAUGCACAAGGCUCUGGGUUCAAUCCCCAGAAUCUCCCACUCCA
Molecule: transfer RNA, 85 nt
Filed under: Heterocephalus glaber (naked mole-rat)
Lineage: Eukaryota; Metazoa; Chordata; Mammalia; Rodentia; Bathyergidae
Description: tRNA-Ala (AGC) (tRNA-Ala-AGC-24-1)
Rfam family: tRNA (bases 8-78)
About the family: Transfer RNA (tRNA) molecules are approximately 80 nucleotides in length. Their secondary structure includes four short double-helical elements and three loops (D, anti-codon, and T loops). Further hydrogen bonds mediate the characteristic L-shaped molecular structure. tRNAs have two regions of fundamental functional importance: the anti-codon, which is responsible for specific mRNA codon recognition, and the 3' end, to which the tRNAs corresponding amino acid is attached (by aminoacyl-tRNA synthetases). tRNAs cope with the degeneracy of the genetic code in two manners: having more than one tRNA (with a specific anti-codon) for a particular amino acid; and 'wobble' base-pairing, i.e. permitting non-standard base-pairing at the 3rd anti-codon position.
Source: RNAcentral